This is a long non-coding RNA of Juglans regia (Persian walnut), 1106 nucleotides long. RefSeq lists it as uncharacterized. The transcript is spliced from 2 exons. Lineage: Eukaryota; Viridiplantae; Streptophyta; Magnoliopsida; Fagales; Juglandaceae. The record is from RefSeq and is a predicted model, not a curated record.
UAGACUUUAGAAGAAGCCAUUUCAAUUUUCAAAAUUUUUACAGCUCCCGUCCUCGCAUUCCCCCCCCUCUCUCUUCCCAGCGCCCUGAGUUCGCCCCUCCCUCUACCUAGCGCCUUGCGGUCUCCAGUUCGUGGCUGAUGAUCGCCUCCCCACGUUUUCCCCUUUGCUCGUGCUUCUUCUUCCCCAAUUCGUGAGAUUUGUUUCGCUGCCCCUCUGCCCAACUUCCUAGUCUAGGAGAUGGUGAAGACAUGUGGUGUAGGUGACCAAAAUCUGCUUCUCAUGUGGGCGGGGUUGUGUUGUGAAGGUGAUGUUAAUACAACUUGUCCAAUUGGUGGUCAAGGCUGUUGUGAAGGGGCUGCUGUCAAGAGCUGUUUUGUGUUGUGUGUGGGGGGCUGUUGCGAAGGGACUGAUUUGUAUCCAGUUGAGGAGAUGUACUUAGGGCCCGUUUGGUUGUUAAACUCAUCUGAGUUCAACUCAGUUCCGUCUAAUUUUAAGCUUUGUCUAACAUAGGGCUGUGCAAACUUUCGAAAAUUUCGACUCCGCCCAAAUUCCUCUCCGAUUCUAACGGAGUUGGAGUUGGAGUAGCUCCGAAUAAAUAGUCGGAGUCGGAUUUCGGAACUCCGACUCCGAUUUUUUUAAAAAAAAUAUUAAACGACGCCGUUCCACUUAAGGUGGAAUGGCGUCGUUUCAUCACGGGGGGGUCCAAAACGCAGGACCCCCUUCCCUUCUUCCCUUCUUCCUUCUUCCUUCUCCUUUUCAUUUUCUCUAAACCAGUGAACCUCUCGCCGCCUCGCUGCCUCGUUCCCUCUCUGUUGCCGCCGUUCCUCUUUGCACCUCCGUAGUGCGCAACACUCCGUUCCCCUUCACUUCUCAGGCCAGCCUUCAUAGCCUCUAGUAGGUUUCCAAUUCCGAGCCCUAAAAUUGAUUUAAAUUUUUUUUUCCAUGUUGUUGGGUUGCCUAAAAUUAUUUGUUUUGAGAUUAAUUGUUGUGAAGUUGUGUUGUUGUAAGGAAAUGUAGCAAAAAUUGAAUAUGGUUGAUGGCAAUGGACUGUGCAAACUAGUAUGCAUGCAAUGUGUUUGAUAAAAUGUGUAUAAGAUUUUAUGGAU